RNAcentral lists this long non-coding RNA (681 nucleotides) under Cyanistes caeruleus (blue tit). RNAcentral describes it as "lncRNA (ENSCCEG00000023072.1)". Lineage: Eukaryota; Metazoa; Chordata; Aves; Passeriformes; Paridae. The record is from RNAcentral.
AGUCUCUGAGCUGUGCUUUGCCAGAAGAUGGGAGUAUGCAGUGGGGAAAACUUCACAGUGCUAAUCCUUGUUCAUUUCUUGUUUUCUCUAAGCCUCUGCUGUUGGUUCCUGUCAGAAACCUGUUACUGGACAGGAUAUUUGCUCUGUUCAUCUUGUGAUUUUGAAAGAGCUGAAAGAAAACUAUGAGACAGUUUCAAUUAACAUUUUUGAGUGAUUUGGCUUCCUGCUCACCUAGGAGCCUAGAGGAGGUCCCUGCUCUUUCCUGGCUGCUCAGGGACUCCAGUUUCAUGGGGAAGGAGACUCAGGUAGCAGGAGAUGAGGUCAGUUCCCUCUGUGAUCUCAGCUCAAUGCCUGCUGUAGAGAUGGCUGUAUGGUUCAGUAACUCAUAAAACAGAAACAAAUGGUGUUAUUGGGGUCCAGACACCUCUUUCAGGCUGAAGCUGAGGAUGCUCUGCUGCUCCAGGCCAGGGGAUGAAUGUACAUGUGUCCACUUGCAACCAUGGCAGGACCAUCAAACCCCACCAUGUAGCCACAGACAGAUGGAGGAUGAUGGAUCCUGGAAAGUGGAUGGCAACAUCUGGGAAAGGCAAGCCUUCUGAACAGUUUCUGUUGCUACACCCCAGGGAUCUCCCCCUUUGGAGAGGUGAUGCCAGGGAAAACACUCAGCAGGUCUGGAUCAGU